AUAGGGGAGCCGGAGGGAAACCGAGUCUUAAUUGGGCGUUAAGUUGCAGGGUAUAGACCCGAAACCCGGUGAUCUAGCCAUGGGCAGGUUGAAGGUUGGGUAACACUAACUGGAGGACCGAACCGACUAAUGUUGAAAAAUUAGCGGAUGACCUGUGGCUGGGGGUGAAAGGCCAAUCAAACCGGGAGAUAGCUGGUUCUCCCCGAAAGCUAUUUAGGUAGCGCCUCGUGAAUUCAUCUCCGGGGGUAGAGCACUGUUUCGGCUAGGGGGCCAUCCCGGCUUACCAACCCGAUGCAAACUGCGAAUACCGGAGAAUGUUAUCACGGGAGACACACGGCGGGUGCUAACGUCCGUCGUGAAGAGGGAAACAACCCAGACCGCCAGCUAAGGUCCCAAAGUCAUGGUUAAGUGGGAAACGAUGUGGGAAGGCCCAGACAGCCAGGAUGUUGGCUUAGAAGCAGCCAUCAUUUAAAGAAAGCGUAAUAGCUCACUGGUCGAGUCGGCCUGCGCGGAAGAUGUAACGGGGCUAAACCAUGCACCGAAGCUGCGGCAGCGACGCUGAUGCGUUGUUGGGUAGGGGAGCGUUCUGUAAGCCUGUGAAGGUGGCCUGUGAGGGUUGCUGGAGGUAUCAGAAGUGCGAAUGCUGACAUAAGUAACGAUAAAGCGGGUGAAAAGCCCGCUCGCCGGAAGACCAAGGGUUCCUGUCCAACGUUAAUCGGGGCAGGGUGAGUCGACCCCUAAGGCGAGGCCGAAAGGCGUAGUCGAUGGGAAACGGGUUAAUAUUCCCGUACUUGGUGUUACUGCGAAGGGGGGACGGAGAAGGCUAUGUUGGCCGGGCGACGGUU
This 845-nucleotide ribosomal RNA is filed under the name Salmonella enterica. RNAcentral's name for it is "partial 23S ribosomal RNA". It matches the Rfam family "Bacterial large subunit ribosomal RNA", at positions 657 to 1503 of the family's 2925-position model. The record is from RNAcentral. Lineage: Bacteria; Pseudomonadati; Pseudomonadota; Gammaproteobacteria; Enterobacterales; Enterobacteriaceae.